UACGAAGGGGGCUAGCGUUGCUCGGAAUCAUUGGGCGUAAAGAGCGUGUAGGCGGCCAGAUAAGUCCGCUGUGAAAUCUCGAGGCUCAACUUCGAGCUGUCGGUGGAAACUGUCUGGCUAGAGUCCGGAAGAGGAGAAUGGAAUUCCUGGUGUAGCGGUGAAAUGCGCUGAUAUCAGGAAGAACACCCGUGGCGAAGGCGGCUCUCUGGGACGGUACUGACGCUGAGACGCGAAAGCGUGGGGAGCGAACAGG
RNAcentral lists this ribosomal RNA (253 nucleotides) under uncultured bacterium. RNAcentral describes it as "partial 16S ribosomal RNA". It matches the Rfam family "Bacterial small subunit ribosomal RNA", at positions 524 to 776 of the family's 1533-position model. The record is from RNAcentral.